RNAcentral lists this ribosomal RNA (492 nucleotides) under uncultured bacterium. RNAcentral describes it as "partial 16S ribosomal RNA". It matches the Rfam family "Bacterial small subunit ribosomal RNA", at positions 29 to 507 of the family's 1533-position model. The record is from RNAcentral.
AGUGAACGCUGGCGGUAGGCCUAACACAUGCAAGUCGAACGGCAGCGCAGUAAGAGCUUGCUCUUACGGGUGGCGAGUGGCGGACGAGUGAGGAAUACAUCGGAAUCUACUUUUUCGUGGGGGAUAACGUAGGGAAACUUACGCUAAUACCGCAUACGACCUACGGGUGAAAGCAGGGGAUCUUCGGACCUUGCGCGAUUGAAUGAGCCGAUGUCGGAUUAGCUAGUUGGCGGGGUAAAGGCCCACCAAGGCGACGAUCCGUAGCUGGUCUGAGAGGAUGAUCAGCCACACUGGAACUGAGACACGGUCCAGACUCCUACGGGAGGCAGCAGUGGGGAAUAUUGGACAAUGGGCGCAAGCCUGAUCCAGCCAUACCGCGUGGGUGAAGAAGGCCUUCGGGUUGUAAAGCCCUUUUGUUGGGAAAGAAAAGCAGCAGGUUAAUACCCCGCUGUUCUGACGGUACCCAAAGAAUAAGCACCGGCUAACUUCGUG